UGAGGAUUUUUAUGACUCUCAUGGGGAU
This 28-nucleotide non-coding RNA is filed under the name Rattus norvegicus (Norway rat). Lineage: Eukaryota; Metazoa; Chordata; Mammalia; Rodentia; Muridae. The record is from RNAcentral.